This 457-nucleotide ribosomal RNA is filed under the name uncultured Anaerolineaceae bacterium. Its description in RNAcentral is "bacterial SSU rRNA". It matches the Rfam family "Bacterial small subunit ribosomal RNA", at positions 917 to 1381 of the family's 1533-position model. Lineage: Bacteria; Bacillati; Chloroflexota; Anaerolineae; Anaerolineales; Anaerolineaceae. The record is from RNAcentral.
GACGGGCCCGCACAAGCAGCGGAGCGUGUGGUUUAAUUCGAUGCUACACGAAGAACCUUACCAGGGUUUGACAUACAAGUGGUAGAGAAGCGAAAGCGGACCGACCCUUCGGGGAGCUUGUACAGGUGCUGCAUGGCUGUCGUCAGCUCGUGUCGUGAGAUGUUCGGUUAAGUCCGCUAACGAGCGCAAACCCUCGCUGUGUGUUACAAGUGUCACACGGAACUGCCGGUCAUAAACCGGAGGAAGGUGGGAUGACGUCAAGUCAGCAUGGCCUUUAUAUCCUGGGCUACACACACGCUACAAUGGGAAGGGACAAUAGGUUGCGAAGCCGCGAGGUGGAGCCAAUCCAGCAAAACUUCCCUCAGUUCAGAUUGCAGGCUGCAACUCGCCUGCAUGAAGUUGGAGUUGCUAGUAAACGCAGGUCAGCCAUACUGCGUUGAAUACGUUCCCGGGGCUU